Lates calcarifer (barramundi perch) is the source of this 1738-nucleotide long non-coding RNA. RefSeq lists it as uncharacterized. The record is from RefSeq and is a predicted model, not a curated record. The transcript is spliced from 5 exons. Lineage: Eukaryota; Metazoa; Chordata; Actinopteri; Centropomidae.
UACGCAGCACGGAGCAGAAUGGCGGACAAACAAAGUUGGAAAGACGAGUGAAAAACACGGAAUAAAACCAGCGUCAGAGUCGUCGCUUUAGUUUCUUAGCACUGUGAGAAACCAUUACACAGCUACAAGAAGCUUUGGAGCGGUUUUUGUCGAACACGAGCGAGGCUUGGACGCUGAGCACACCUGCGGCCAAGGAACUUCAACCAGCAAAUCACAGAGAGAAGAGACUGACAUGAAGAUUUACAGAAGGUGUCACCACUUCGUCCACGACAUCAUCCAUGAUCGGAGAGACAUGGUCCAUGAUCGGAGAGACAUUGUUGAGGAUGAGGGAGACAUCGUCCACGAUCAGAGACAUUGUCCAUGACUCGUGGUGACUCGGUCCCCGAUUAGUCGGCACUGCCGGCGUUCAGAGACAUUGUCAAUGAUCGCAGAGACUUUGUCCAUAAUCUCAGAGACAUUGUCCGCGAUCGCAGAGAUGUAGUCCACAAUCGCAGAGACAUCCACGAUCACAGAGACAUGGUCCAUGAUCGGAGAGACAUUGUUGAGGAUGAGGGAGACAUCGUCCACGAUCAGAGACGUUGUCCAUGAUUGCAGAGACCUUGUCAAAGAUGAGAGAGGCGUUGUCCAUGAUCAGAGACAUUGUCCCAUGCUUCGCAGAGCUCUGCGCAAGAAUCGGUAGUGACACUGUGGUUCCUCGAUUCGACGGCAUGACCGCGAUCAUGGAGACAUUUGUCGACGAUUACAGAGACAGCGUCUAUGAUCUCAGAGACAUCGUCCACGAUCACAAAGACAUUGUCCAUGAUCGCAGAGACUUUGUCCAUAAUCUCAGAGACACUGUCCGCGAUCACAGAGACGUAGUCCACGAUCACAGAGGGACAUCGUAAGAUGAAGUUCUUUGAGACCAGGACAGAGGCCUCCAGGUGUCACCACUUCGUCCACAACAUCAUCCAUGAUCGGAGAGACAUUGUUGAGGAUGAGGGAGACAUCGUCCACGAUCAGAGACAUUGUCCAUGACUCGUGGUGACUCGGUCCCCGAUUAGUCGGCACUGCCGGCGUUCAGAGACAUUGUCGAUGAUCGCAGAGACUUUGUCCAUAAUCUCAGAGACAUUGUCCGCGAUCGCAGAGACAUCCACGAUCACAGAGACAUGGUCCAUGAUCGGAGAGACAUUGUUGAGGAUGAGGGAGACAUCGUCCACGAUCAGAGACGUUGUCCAUGAUUGCAGAGACCUUGUCAAAGAUGAGAGAGGCGUUGUCCAUGAUCAGAGACAUUGUCCCAUGCUUCGCAGAGCUCUGCGCAAGAAUCGGUAGUGACACUGUGGUUCCUCGAUUCGACGGCAUGACCGCGAUCAUGGAGAUAUUUGUUGACGAUUACAGAGACAGCGUCUAUGAUCUCAGAGACAUCGUCCACGAUCACAAAGACAUUGUCCAUGAUCACAGAGACUUUGUCCAUAAUCUCAGAGACACUGUCCGCGAUCACAGAGACGUAGUCCACGAUCACAGAGAGACAUCGUAAUAUGAAGUUCUUUGAGACCAGGACAGAGGCCUCCAGGUGUCACCACUUCGUCCACAACAUCAUCCAUGAUCGGAGAGACAUUGUUGAGGAUGAGGGAGACAUCGUCCACGAUCAGAGACAUUGUCCAUGACUCGUGGUGACUCGGUCCCCGAUUAGUCGGCACUGCCGGCGUUCAGAGACAUUGUCGAUGAUCGCAGAGACUUUGUCCAUAAUCUCAGAGACAUU